GAAAAAAGAGGCUGCUGGGUAGCCAAGAGAUGACUGCCUAUUCUCUAACACAAGAGUUCCUACAAAACCCUAUUAAUUAAUUAAUAACUCUUGGCAAAAAUGAAUAGGCAAAUCAUUCUUGGCUCCAAACAACACUCUUAUCC
Ricinus communis (castor bean) is the source of this 143-nucleotide non-coding RNA. The record is from Rfam. NCBI's taxonomy places the organism in Eukaryota, Viridiplantae, Streptophyta, Magnoliopsida, Malpighiales, Euphorbiaceae.